GCCAUAUAUGCAUGUUAGUCAUGGUUGAAAACUAACUUUCUUCAUCUGAUCAGUUAGCUGGCUCUAAUAGGGUAUACCACUGAGAGAGACAGAACAAGAUGAUGCUUCCAGUGGAAGGUGGCUAGUAAAAACCAUGAGAACAUGAGGUGCUGCCUUAUGAACAAUGGACUUCAGUAAUGAAGAAAACUCAGAGCCCUGAAAUUGUCUUCUUAUUCCAAACAAUCCUCUUACUUUAAGGUCACACUGAGGAAUAGAAGAAAAGGGAGGGAGGAAGAAAAAGAAUGGGGAAGGAAGAAGAGAAAGGAGAGAAGGAUGGAAAGAGGAAGAAAG
Callithrix jacchus (white-tufted-ear marmoset) is the source of this 330-nucleotide long non-coding RNA. RefSeq lists it as uncharacterized. NCBI's taxonomy places the organism in Eukaryota, Metazoa, Chordata, Mammalia, Primates, Cebidae. The record is from RefSeq and is a predicted model, not a curated record.